This 253-nucleotide ribosomal RNA is filed under the name uncultured bacterium. Its description in RNAcentral is "partial 16S ribosomal RNA". It matches the Rfam family "Bacterial small subunit ribosomal RNA", at positions 524 to 776 of the family's 1533-position model. The record is from RNAcentral.
UACAGAGGGUGCAAGCGUUAAUCGGAAUUACUGGGCGUAAAGCGUGCGUAGACGGUUAUGUAAGUCGGGUGUGAAAGCCCCGGGCUCAACCCCGGGCCUGCAGCCGAUACGGGCAAGCUAGAAUUCGGUAGGGGAGACUGGAAUUCCUGGUGUAGCGGUGAAAUGCGCAGAUAUCUGGAGGAACACCGGUGGCGAAGGCGGCAUUCUGGACUAUUUCUGACACUGAUGAACGAAAGCCAGGGGAGCAAACGGG